This 415-nucleotide ribosomal RNA is filed under the name uncultured bacterium. Its description in RNAcentral is "bacterial SSU rRNA". It matches the Rfam family "Bacterial small subunit ribosomal RNA", at positions 355 to 787 of the family's 1533-position model. The record is from RNAcentral.
UGGGGAAUAUUGCACAAUGGGGAAAGCCCUGAUGCAGCGACGCCGCGUGAGCGAAGAAGUAUUUCGGUAUGUAAAGCUCUAUCAGCAGGGAAGAAAAUGACGGUACCUGACUAAGAAGCCCCGGCUAACUACGUGCCAGCAGCCGCGGUAAUACGUAGGGGGCAAGCGUUAUCCGGAUUUACUGGGUGUAAAGGGAGCGUAGACGGAUGUGCAAGUCUGAAGUGAAAGCCCGGGGCUCAACCCCGGGACUGCUUUGGAAACUGUGUAUCUAGAGUGCCGGAGAGGUAAGCGGAAUUCCCAGUGUAGCGGUGAAAUGCGUAGAUAUUGGGAGGAACACCAGUGGCGAAGGCGACUAUCUGGCACAUAACUGACACUGAGGAGCGAAAGCGUGGGUAGCAAACAGGAUUAGAUACCC